Molecule: ribosomal RNA, 433 nt
Filed under: uncultured bacterium
Lineage: Bacteria
Description: bacterial SSU rRNA
Rfam family: Bacterial small subunit ribosomal RNA
Source: RNAcentral
AACGCGAAGAACCUUACCAAGGCUUGACAUGUAGAGGAAAAGUGCAGAAAUGCACUCCCCGCAAGGUCUCUACACAGGUGGUGCAUGGUUGUCGUCAGCUCGUGUCGUGAGAUGUUGGGUUAAGUCCCGCAACGAGCGCAACCCUCGUCCUAUGUUGCCAGCACGUUAUGGUGGGAACUCAUGGGAUACUGCCGGGGUCAACUCGGAGGAAGGUGGGGAUGACGUCAAAUCAUCAUGCCCCUUACGUCUUGGGCUGCACGCAUGCUACAAUGGCUGGUACAAAGAGCUGCAAUACCGCAAGGUGGAGCGAAUCUCAAAAAGCCAGUCUCAGUUCGGAUUGGGGUCUGCAACUCGACCCCAUGAAGUCGGAGUUGCUAGUAAUCGUAGAUCAGCAACGCUACGGUGAAUACGUUCCCGGGUCUUGUACACACCG